GAUAUGCACCAGCAUGCAUACAUCAGCCUGAUAGUGGCACCUGAUAGUUUCUAUGCAGCUGUUUGUGUUAUUAACUAGAUAUCCCAUGGUAGUGCUAAGUUAAAAUCUUUCAAUGAAAAGAUAUGCAGUCCCUAGAUCUCUGUUAUAGGCAUAUCAACACCAUCAGAUGUAAUGGAAGACACCAAAGCCAUGCAGCAAAAAAAGUGGUUUUGGCCUAUACUCGCCGUAUAAGACUACCCCCCCUUCCGAGGCUGAAGGACCCAC
Mauremys mutica (yellowpond turtle) is the source of this 264-nucleotide long non-coding RNA. RefSeq lists it as uncharacterized. NCBI's taxonomy places the organism in Eukaryota, Metazoa, Chordata, Testudines, Geoemydidae. The record is from RefSeq and is a predicted model, not a curated record. The transcript is spliced from 3 exons.